CCCUUGUGAAAAGGGGGUCAUUUGCCCUAUAUAGGGGCUGUUGGGGCAACCCGACUACGGCGCUAAACUGCGUGACAGAAUAGGCUUUACGGACCCGGGGGCGGUACCCGGCGGCUCCACCAAAAUUAUCGGUUGUCCGACUCAGACAAUCUUCGUGGGGCCGAAAUAGGAUCGACGUGAGCAGUAAAAGUCAAUGUGGGCGCUCGGCAUGGUACCACCGCAUCGGGCCAAUGUUUGUAAAUGCAAACGACAACAAUGCUCCGGUUGCUGUUGCCGCCUAAGCGGUACUAGCACCAAAGCGAAAUUCCGAUUGCCGGGAGCGGUAAUUUGGUGGGGGACGGGGCACCUAGCAACAGAACGCCCCACU
RNAcentral lists this transfer-messenger RNA (367 nucleotides) under Thalassospira indica. It matches the Rfam family "Alphaproteobacteria transfer-messenger RNA". From Rfam's summary of the family: Bacterial tmRNA, also known as 10Sa RNA or SsrA, is named for its dual tRNA and mRNA-like properties. Lineage: Bacteria; Pseudomonadati; Pseudomonadota; Alphaproteobacteria; Rhodospirillales; Thalassospiraceae. The record is from RNAcentral.